GGGCGCGUAGCGCAAUGGUUAGAGCGUUUCGUUUACACCGAAAAGGUUAGAGGUUCGACUCCUCUCGCGCCCA
This 73-nucleotide transfer RNA is filed under the name bacterium (Candidatus Gribaldobacteria) CG_4_10_14_0_2_um_filter_33_15. Its description in RNAcentral is "tRNA-Val". It matches the Rfam family "tRNA". Rfam says of the family: Transfer RNA (tRNA) molecules are approximately 80 nucleotides in length. Their secondary structure includes four short double-helical elements and three loops (D, anti-codon, and T loops). The record is from RNAcentral. RNAcentral also lists the same sequence under 3 other names. Lineage: Bacteria; Candidatus Gribaldobacteria.